GUUUAAUUCAGUAGCUUGUGGUUCUAUAUAUUUGCUGCAGCUGGCCUUGGCAAUAAUUUGGAAUAUUAAUUGUUUUAUUUGCUUUCUUUCUCUUGAACUUGCUGCAUACCCAUUGAACUGGCAUAGAAAAGCAGCACACUCGAUUAAAAGAGGGAACUGGUUGUUUACUUUUCAUUUGUUUACUCUCCCUGUCAUACUUAUGUGCCUUUGACGAGUUAAAUCUGUAAAUUUUCUUCCAAAUAGAGUUUUACUUCGAUCUUGUUUCGUGUACAUCUGAUACUUAGUUCGUUAGGCUUUGUUCUGAAACUAGUUAAUGUGAUUCUUUCAAGCUUUAUAUUUGUCUAUUAUAUUUCGAACUAGUUUUGUUACGAAAAGAGACCUAUUAUAUUUUUACUUGCUUUCUCUUGAAUUUGCUAUCAAGAGAAAAAAGGGAGCAAUGUUGUUUCUUUUCACUUGUUAAAUUUGCUAUCCAACAUAAUUUGUAAUUUUUGUCCCCUUAUUUUAGAGAAAAUAACUUUCUUAUUUUAGUAAAUCUGUCUUCUCUUUCUCCAUCACUUGUUCUUCAUUUUCCUUUUAAUUCAAAAUCUAUUCUAUCUUCUUUUCCUGUUCCUGGUCCUCCUUAUUCUACUGCUUUUGAUGUUUCUUUACCUGAUCCAGCACAUUUUCCUCUUUCCAGUUCACUGAACUCUCUCAAUUACCUGUCUCCCUCCUAUUGAUUCUUCUUCACAUCCUGCAUUUUCUCCUGUUUCUCAAAACCAUGUUCCUUUAAGAAGAAAUACCAGAAGUAUUUCCAAACCAGCACGUUAAAGGAUUUUGUCAAUAUUGUCAUUUCUCCAUCAAGUUAGUUCUCUCCAGUACUGAUUCAAGUUCAUUUAGCUUUCAUUUAAAUAGCUAAAAUUCAUGAACCAACCACUUACCUUAAAGCCUCAAAAGAUCCUAAUUGGGUUAAGGCAAUGACAGAAGAAUUGACUGCUUUAGAAAAUAAUGGUACUUGGAUUUUUAAGAUCAAAUAUAAGCCUAGUGGAGUUAUAAGCCUAAUGGAGUUAUGUCAAAAAGAUAUGUUUAUGGUCUUAGACAAGCUUCGAGGCAAUGAAACCUUGAAUUUACUACCUUUAUUUUGAAAUUGGGGUUUUGUCAAUCUACUCAUGAUCAGUGUUCAUUUAUAAGAUCUAUUGAUAAUCAUUUUCUUGUUAUUCUGGUAUAUGUUGAUGUUAUAAUUACUAGAACUGAUAUGGGUGCUAUUACUUCUGUUAAACAAUCUCUUGAUGGUAAAUUCUUUAAGAAGGAUCUUGGUUCUGCAAAAUACUUUCUGGGUAUUGAAAUAGCCAGGUCUGAUACGGCACUAUUAUUAGUUAGCAAAAAUUUAUUCUUGAUGUGGUUCAUGAAACUGGUUUGCAAGAUGCUAAGGCUUCAUUAUCUCCUCUUCCUAGAGGUCUUAAAUAGUCUCUAGAUGAAGGAGAACUUUUAGAUGUUGGUGAACUACUUUAUUCCCUUUAACAAGACCUGACUUGAAUUACUAUGUUCACCAUCUCAAUCAAUUUAUGUCUUCUUCUAGACGACCUUAUCUUUUGGUUGCUCUGUAUCUUGUUAAGUAUUUAAAUGGUUGUCCCUCAAGGGGUUUGUUUUUCUUUGCUUCUAAUAAUUUGCAGCUCCAAGCUUACCGUUAUGCAGACAGGGCAUCAUGUUCCUUUACAAGGAGUUCUCUCAUAGGAUUUUGUGUAUUUCUUGGUGAUGCAUUAGUCUCUUGGAAGUCUAAAAAGUAGAAUAUUAUUUGUAUUAUUGUAUAAUUCAGCUAUAUACAGCUUAACUUUUAUAGGACUUUUAUAUAAGUAAACACUUUACCCUCUCUCGAUUAUCAAUAUAUAACAUUGUUCCAGUU
Non-coding RNA from Jatropha curcas, 1879 nucleotides. The record is from RefSeq and is a predicted model, not a curated record. Lineage: Eukaryota; Viridiplantae; Streptophyta; Magnoliopsida; Malpighiales; Euphorbiaceae.